GGCGGUAAAGUUUCAUUUACAAUGAAAAUGACCCACAAGGCGUCUGUAUAGAUAUAGACUGGUUAA
Molecule: transfer RNA, 66 nt
Filed under: Gammarus kangdingensis
Lineage: Eukaryota; Metazoa; Arthropoda; Malacostraca; Amphipoda; Gammaridae
Description: tRNA-Val
Source: RNAcentral